UACGGAGGGUGCGAGCGUUGUCCGGAAUCACUGGGCGUAAAGGGCGCGUAGGCGGCGCGACAAGGCGGCGGUGAAAGUCCGGGGCUCAACCCCGGAUCGGCCGUGGCGACUGUCGCGCUCGAGCACAGUAGAGGCGGGUGGAAUUCCGGGUGUAGCGGUGGAAUGCGUAGAGAUCCGGAAGAACACCGGUGGCGAAGGCGGCCCGCUGGGCUGUGGCUGACGCUGAGGCGCGAAAGCUAGGGUAGCAAACGGG
Molecule: ribosomal RNA, 253 nt
Filed under: uncultured bacterium
Lineage: Bacteria
Description: partial 16S ribosomal RNA
Rfam family: Bacterial small subunit ribosomal RNA
Source: RNAcentral